GAUGAACGCUGGCGGCGUGCCUAAUACAUGCAAGUCGAGCGAACAGAUGAGGAGCUUGCUCCUCUGACGUUAGCGGCGGACGGGUGAGUAACACGUGGAUAACCUACCUAUAAGACUGGGAUAACUUCGGGAAACCGGAGCUAAUACCGGAUAAUAUAUUGAACCGCAUGGUUCAAUAGUGAAAGACGGUUUUGCUGUCACUUAUAGAUGGAUCCGCGCCGCAUUAGCUAGUUGGUAAGGUAACGGCUUACCAAGGCAACGAUGUGUAGCCGACCUGAGAGGGUGAUCGGCCACACUGGAACUGAGACACGGUCCAGACUCCUACGGGAGGCAGCAGUAGGGAAUCUUCCGCAAUGGGCGAAAGCCUGACGGAGCAACGCCGCGUGAGUGAUGAAGGUCUUCGGAUCGUAAAACUCUGUUAUUAGGGAAGAACAAAUGUGUAAGUAACUAUGCACGUCUUGACGGUACCUAAUCAGAAAGCCACGGCUAACUACGUG
This 497-nucleotide ribosomal RNA is filed under the name uncultured bacterium. Its description in RNAcentral is "partial 16S ribosomal RNA". It matches the Rfam family "Bacterial small subunit ribosomal RNA", at positions 28 to 507 of the family's 1533-position model. The record is from RNAcentral.